AUAACAUAAAUGUUACCUGAAAAAGUAAUUCUCGUUCAUAUUGUAAAUUUUCAUAAUAAUGUUCAUUGACACUGCUAACUAAACGACGUAAUCUGAGGUACAUAAAACGCUGCUGGUCUUUCCAAGAAUUUUCAUCAGACAAUAUAUUAAAUGAUAAAACUUGACGUCCUUCUGCAAGACAGUCUAGAACAUCUAUAGCUUUACAUCCGGACACCAAAACAGAUCUAAUCAUAAAAUUACUUUGUAAGUACAUAGAAAAUAAAAAUUAUAUUUGGAAAAGGAGGUAUUGUACAUUUAUCUUUUAUUCAUUUAUAUAUUUCUGCAUUUUAUCAUAUAAGUAUAUUUCUUUUUACCUGUUCACUUUGCAUUCAGAAUUUUUUUCAAAAUAGUUCAUAAAGCGCUUGCAAUCAGAUAUAAAGAAAAUAAUGCUAGAAUCUGGCGGAUGGAGCCCAAAUAAAGAAACAGGACAAUUUAUAGCACGAUGAAGCAAACUAUUUAAAUUAUCAAGCAGACUACCAGCAUAAAAACAAAGUCGUGAAAAUUUCUCUGGUUUUGAAGGAUGUGUAUAUCUCCAAGUUACAGCUCUGAGCAUCUUGUAUUGUGCCAUGACCAUUUCUAGGAUAUUGAAUACUCUGCUGAAGGUUAGUAGGUCAGCACCUGUCUUAACUUUCAUUAUCAUUGUUUCUGUAUGUUUCAUUGCACUUUCAAGUUUUGUACCAGCAAUAAGAAAUGAAGUAUUCAAAACUAUCGUAGCGACGUUCGAACAACGUCUGAAAAAAUCAUAUGGUCUUUUGAUUUAUUUGCUAUUAUUAUGUAUAAAUAUUAACCGGUAAUCACAUUUAAAAAUGCAAGUAUAAUAACUGAUUACAAAUAUGAAUCACCGAUUAAUACUUAUUCCUGUUAAUAAAUAAAUGAUGAUAGUGAUUAUAUCAACAUAUUUUUAUCAAGGUGAGAAUUUAUUAUAUUUCAAUGAAUAUUCGUUAGAUAUUCCACCUGGACACUAGACGAACUGCAGUAGCUACAUCAUGUAAGGGUAAUAAACGUAAUACUAUUUCUAAAACUUCUGGUGGAAGUGUGUCCAGAGUGUGGUAGUAAAAACUUUCAUCGACCGUAUGCUUUUGCAUAUUCUUCUGCUCUUUGCAUCUCGAUGAUGUUUUUCGACGCUUAUUUGGGUUCAUUUGAAAAGAAAUCCUAAUAAAAGCUAUGUUCUUAAUUUGGA
Molecule: long non-coding RNA, 1219 nt
Organism: Vespa crabro (European hornet)
Lineage: Eukaryota; Metazoa; Arthropoda; Insecta; Hymenoptera; Vespidae
Exons: 2
Source: RefSeq, a predicted model, not a curated record